GGUAUAGCUCAGAGGUAGAGCACAUGCUUAGCAUGCACCAGGUCCUGGGUUCAAUCCCCAGUACC
Molecule: transfer RNA, 65 nt
Filed under: Camelus bactrianus (Bactrian camel)
Lineage: Eukaryota; Metazoa; Chordata; Mammalia; Artiodactyla; Camelidae
Also listed under: 2 other names
Rfam family: tRNA
About the family: Transfer RNA (tRNA) molecules are approximately 80 nucleotides in length. Their secondary structure includes four short double-helical elements and three loops (D, anti-codon, and T loops).
Source: Rfam by way of RNAcentral